CAUUGCGGAGGACACUUGACAUCUCAGGGCCUCGGGCCACCUCCUUCCUAGGCACAAAGCCCUUAGAAGAACUGAGCUCUUGGGAGCUCAUCUUCACCUCCUCUUUCUCAAGAACUCAGCCACAUUUUGGGACCCAGGUGUCUCUGCCUGCCAGCCACAAGGAGGCAGAGGAAGAUGCACAGGGAAAACCAUCUCUGGUGCUGGCUGCUUCUGCAGCUCCUGCUUCUAGAAAGUGAGUGAUUUUUAUCUAAAUGUGGAUGGUCUGGCUGCUUUUGAGGAGGUGGGAGGCGUCGGGGGAAUGGUGUAUCAUCGCCCAGGAACCAGCAACGGACACCGUGGGCUCUGGUCUCACAUUGCUUACGACCUAAGUCACGGCUCCACUUGUUAAGCACGCCGUGUGGGACUGGCUUUCAAGGCCCCAGUGUAUGCAUCUGUGAUGGGGGGGAUAACCUGUGUGGUGUGGGCUGGGUGUUUAAAUAGUGAGACUACUUGACUGUUUUUAAAGUGUCCUUUCUCUUCUGUCUGUAACCCCGAUUCCAAAUCACCCUAAAUCAAUCUUAGACCUAGAAGAAUAGAGUCUAAAACUCUAACUGGGCUGGCCCAGGCCUGUAAUUCCAGGUACCAGGGAGCCUGAGGUGGGAAGGUGGCAAGGCUUAUCUGGGUUACGGAGCAAGUUCAACAGUAGCCUUGUCGAUGGGGUGAGACUCUGUCUUGAAAUAACAUAGCAUAGGAUAAAAUAAGAGGCUAGAAGUAGCUUGUGGGCAGAAUGCUUGCCCGGUAUAUGGGAAGCCCUGGGUUUGGAAUUCAGCAAAAGAUUAAAAAAAAAAAAAAAAGUCAAGUCGAAUCAAACCAAUAGAGCUGGGCGUGGUCCCUCAUGCCCGAGGUCUCAGCAGCCAGCCAGAGCUACCUAGCAGGACUCUGAAAAUUUAAAAAUGGGCAGAGGAUAAUAAGUGGUGUAUUGGCAAGUUGAUUUUAAAGACAACCGUGAUCAUAAAGUUAAAGGAAGGCUGCCUGAGUGAGGUGGUUGUAAAGCAAGUACCAUCUCAGGUAGACGGGAAGAACCUUCUGGAUUCUACAAAAGAGCAGAAGGGUGAAAAGUCCUCGGUGGGUUUAGUUCUCACCGGGUUUCUUCCAGGAGGCUUCCGAUAUGUUAUAAUAAAGGCUGGGCUACUGACCUGUGUAAGAAACGCCCCCCUCCGUGCCUCUCAGCACAGGGACCUGUUCAUCUCAACACGCAGGAAGCAGAGGCAGGAGGAUGAGUAAUUUCAAAAGACAACCUGGUACAGAGUGAGCCCUCUCAAAAAAAAAAAAAAAAAAACCUAAAAGCCUUGACUGUUUUUUCUCUUCGGUUCUGACAUCAGUGAAAACUCCAUGUUCUGCCUGCACAGAAUCGGGAAGAGGGAAUCCUGGGGGAAUUCAUCAUUUUAAACCAAAAAAAAAAAAAAAAAAAAUCAAGCCAACUACAAUUUACUUAUUUGGUCUGCUUGCAUAUCUGUGCACCCCAUGUACACAGAGCUGAGGAGAGCAGAACGGGGUGUUGGACUCCCUGGAGCUGGAGUUUAGGAUAUGAAUGUUGGGAACCAAACUCGGUUCUCCCGAAAGCAGCAAGCAUUCUUACCCACUAAGCUACCUCUCCAGCCCGUCCUCCAAACUAUAUUUUAAUUCGUUAAUUUUAUCCUUUAAGACGUUCCUAGUCAAAUCCACUCCCUUUCACUUGCCUGGUCUACUUUGGGUCACCCUUGGCUGCCCUGCAAGAAGGAACCAUGACCAGGGACUGUGAGACGAAUAAAUCCUUCCUCCUUUAGGGUUGCUUUUGUUGGAGAUUUGAUAACAGCAACAGAAUACAUUAAAUAUUUAUACACAUGCACACCACACACACACAGAUAUAAAACCUUUAUCCAGCUACCUGGUAAUUCUCGACCCUCCCCGCUCCUGUCUGCCUGUUUCUCUCUCUCUGUCUCUUUCUGCCUCUGUGUCUCUGUCUCUCUCUGUCUCUGUGCCUGUGUCCUUGUGUCUGUGUGUCUCUGUCUCUGUCUCGUGCCUGUGUCCUUGUGUCUGUGUGUCUCUGUCUCUCUCUGUCUCUGUGCCUGUGUCCUUGUGUCUGUGUGUCUCUGUCUCUCUCUGUCUCUGUGCCUGUGUCCUUGUGUCUGUGUGUCUCUCUGUGUCUCUCUGUCUCUGUGUCUGUGUCCUUGUGUCACUGUGUCUCUCUGUCUCUGUCUCUGUCUCUGUCUUUCUCUGUGUCUCUAUGUCUCUGUUUCUGUGUGUGUGUGCACACACAUCUGCACAUUCAUGCUGUGUUUGGCAAAUGCUUACUACUAAGGUGGGUGCUCCUAGCCAUCCAAUUCCUUCAUGGUAUAUUUUUAAAACUUAGGGUUUUAUUUUUAAACGUGAGAAUAUGGAAUAUUUACCAUCAGAUAAACUCAGACUUGCUUUUUUGAUGUUAUCGUGGCUCUUAUUUUGUUCAGCUACUUGUAGGAUUUUCUGUUGUUUGUUUAGGCAGGGUCUGCUGUAGUCUAGGCUACAUUCACUGUGGGGCUGGAGCGAUGGCUCAGUAGUUUGGAGCAUGGGCUGCUCUUCAAGGACAAAGUUCCAUUCCCAGAACCCACAUGGUGGCCAACAACCAUUUCGAAUUCCAGUUCCAGGGAGUCCAACACAUUCUUCUGACCUCCAAGGGGACAAAGAAAAUAUCAGUGUUUAUAAUUAUUGAUUGCAUAAUCGAUGAUAAAGGUGUCUACAGGGCACUGAGGAGCACUGGAUAAAAUCACCCAUGUGAUGAAUUUGACAAAGGAGGAAGCAGAAAGCAAAUAUGUCAGUCUGCACUACUUGUCUUUUUUUUUUUUUUCCUUUUUUUUCGGAGCUGGGGACAGAACCCAGGGCCUCGCGCUUGCUAGGCAAGCACUCUACCACUGAGCUAAAUCCCCAACCCACUACUUGUCUUUAAUGGUCUUUCCUAUUCAGAAAAGAACUUCUAAUAUACCACAGGAUAUGCCUUAACUAACUCCAACAUACGCUCCAAUCUUGCACCAACAGUGACCAGCACAGUCUCUGCCUCUUCAUCCAUCCCGACCACCACUGGGUCCAUCACAGCCUCAAACUCUUCAUCCAUCCCGACCACCACUGGGUCCAGCACAGCUCUGACUCUUCAUCACCCCUGUCUACCACUCUGACCAGCCUAGCUUCUUCCUCUCCAUCUAUACCAACCAACACUGUGACCAGCAUAGCUUCUUCCUCUAUAUCUAUGCUGACCACCCC
Molecule: long non-coding RNA, 3252 nt
Filed under: Rattus norvegicus (Norway rat)
Lineage: Eukaryota; Metazoa; Chordata; Mammalia; Rodentia; Muridae
Description: CB741658 gene (CB741658)
Source: RNAcentral